AAUAGAUACCCGGGUAGUCCACGCCGUAAACGUUGGGCACUAGGUGUGGGGUCUAUUCAACGGACUCCGUGCCGUCGCUAACGCAUUAAGUGCCCCGCCUGGGGAGUACGGCCGCAAGGCUAAAACUCAAAGGAAUUGACGGGGGCCCGCACAAGCAGCGGAGCAUGUUGCUUAAUUCGAGGCAACGCGAAGAACCUUACCUGGGUUUGACAUGUAGGGAAAAGCCAUAGAGAUAUGGUGUCCUUAGGGGUCCUACACAGGUGGUGCAUGGUUGUCGUCAGCUCGUGUCGUGAGAUGUUGGGUUAAGUCCCGCAACGAGCGCAACCCUUGUCCUAUGUUGCCAGCACGUUAUGGUGGGGACUCGUAGGAGACUGCCGGGGUCAACUCGGAGGAAGGUGGGGACGACGUCAAAUCAUCAUGCCCCUUAUAUCCAGGGCUGCAAACAUGCUACAAUGGCCGGUACAAAGGGCUGCUAAACCGUGAGGUGGAGCGAAUCCCAUAAAGCCGGUCUCAGUUCGGAUUGGAGUCUGCAACUCGACUCCA
This 543-nucleotide ribosomal RNA is filed under the name uncultured bacterium. RNAcentral describes it as "bacterial SSU rRNA". It matches the Rfam family "Bacterial small subunit ribosomal RNA", at positions 777 to 1320 of the family's 1533-position model. The record is from RNAcentral.